This 586-nucleotide long non-coding RNA is filed under the name Monodelphis domestica (gray short-tailed opossum). Its description in RNAcentral is "lncRNA (ENSMODG00000045930.1)". Lineage: Eukaryota; Metazoa; Chordata; Mammalia; Didelphimorphia; Didelphidae. The record is from RNAcentral.
GUUGUAUUCAUAAUUAUAAUAAAAAGAAUGAAAAAUAACAAUUAAAGUGAUCUAUAUCUUACUCCUUCCCUCCUGCUCUUAGAAAGAAAAGAAAUGACCAAAAAAUUGGUCAUUCAUUGGUUGGUCGAUUGGUUAAAGGGAAAGCAGAACACAGAAAGGUGGAGAUAGGUGGGGGACAGGUUCAAGAUAUAUUCUAAACAUGUCAGGCUGGGUCUCUCCCUGGAGUUCUAAAUACUGACAAAUGUUCCUUUUUCCUUUACUAGCUUGGGAUCCAAUUGGAAAGGCUGAAUGGCAGUGUCUAUUGCCUACCUCUCAGCACCCAAAAAAGGGCACUGCAAACAACAGAGAGGAACAUGGAAGGCUCAGGAAAGAUACUAGCCUUCUACCCUCAAGGAGGUUACAGACUACCUGGGGAAUGAGCUAAGAACAAAGAGACCUAUGACCCACAAUAUCUGAUGAUAAAUGCAUUAAAGAAGUCACAAAACAAAGUGCCCUGUGGCUUCUGAAGGGAAACCAUCAUUUUCUUCUCCAUCUGGGGUCACCCUCACCCCAGCACAGAGCAAUAAAUUUGUUUCAUUUCUAUACA